This 254-nucleotide ribosomal RNA is filed under the name uncultured bacterium. Its description in RNAcentral is "partial 16S ribosomal RNA". It matches the Rfam family "Archaeal small subunit ribosomal RNA", at positions 474 to 727 of the family's 1478-position model. The record is from RNAcentral.
CACCAGCGCCACAAGUGGGGACCAGUAUUAUUGGGCCUAAAGCGUCCGUAGCAGGACUUGUAAAUCCUUUGUGAAAUUGUUGGGCUUAACCUAACAGCGUGCAGGGGACACUGCAAGUCUUGAGACCGGGAGGAGUCAGAGGUAUUCAUGGGGUAGCGGUAAAAUGCAAUAAUCCUAUGAAGACCACCUGUGGCGGAGGCGUCUGACUAGAACGGGUCUGACUGUGAGGGACGAAAGCUGGGGGAGCGAUCCGG